Molecule: ribosomal RNA, 522 nt
Filed under: uncultured bacterium
Lineage: Bacteria
Description: bacterial SSU rRNA
Rfam family: Archaeal small subunit ribosomal RNA
Source: RNAcentral
AACCUCCGCAAUGUGAGAAAUCGCGACGGGGGGAUCCCAAGUGCCAUUCUUAACGGGAUGGCUUUUCAUUAGUGUAAAGAGCUUUUGGAAUAAGGGCUGGGCAAGACCGGUGCCAGCCGCCGCGGCAACACCGGCAGCUCUAGUGGUAGCAGUUUUUAUUGGGCCUAAAGCGUCCGUAGCCGGUUUAAUAAGUCUCUGGUGAAAUCCUGUAGCUUAACUGUGGGAAUUGCUGGAGAUACUAUUAGACUUGAGACCGGGAGAGGUUAGAGGUACUCCCAGGGUAGAGGUGAAAUUCUGUAAUCCUGGGAGGACCGCCUGUUGCGAAGGCGUCUAACUGGAACGGUUCUGACGGUGAGGGACGAAAGUUAGGGGCGCGAACCGGGAUUAGAUACCCGGGUAGUCCUAACUGUAAACGAUGCGGACUUGGUGUUGGGGUGGCUUUGAGCUGCUCCAGUGCCGAAGGGAAGCUGUUAAGUCCGCCGCCUGGGAAGUACGGUCGCAAGACUGAAACUUAAAGGAAUU